Molecule: non-coding RNA, 75 nt
Organism: Ameiurus melas (black bullhead)
Lineage: Eukaryota; Metazoa; Chordata; Actinopteri; Siluriformes; Ictaluridae
Source: the annotation of a GenBank genome assembly
ACAUGGUGGCUUAGUGGUUAGCACGUUUGCCUCACACCUGUAAGGUCUGGGGUUCGAUUCCCGCUCUGCCAUGUG